UUGGAGGGCAAGUCUGGUGCCAGCAGCCGCGGUAAUUCCAGCUCCAAUAGCGUAUAUUAAAGUUGUUGCAGUUAAAAAGCUCGUAGUUGAAUUUCGGGGUUAGUAGGUUGGUCAUGCCACUGGUAUGUACUGAUCUUACUGAUUCCUCCUUCCUGAUGAACCGUAAUGCCAUUAAUUUGGUGUUGCGGGGAGACUGGACUGUUACUUUGAAAAAAUUAGAGUGUUUAAAGCAGGCUAACGCUUGAAUACAUUAGCAUGGAAUAAUGAAAUAGGACGUUCGAUCCUAUUUUGUUGGUUUCUAGGAUUGACGUAAUGAUUAAUAGGGAUAGUUGGGGGCAUUAGUAUUCAAUUGUCAGAGGUGAAAUUCUUGGAUUUAUUGAAGACUAACUACUGCGAAAGCAUUUGCCAAGGAUGUUUUCAUUAAUCAAGAACGAAAGUUAGGGGAUCGAAGACGAUCAGAUACCGUCGUAGUCUUAACCAUAAACUAUGCCGACUAGGGAUCGGAUGAUGUUAAUUUUUUAAUGACUCAUUCGGCGCCUUACGGGAAAC
RNAcentral lists this ribosomal RNA (549 nucleotides) under uncultured Glomus. Its description in RNAcentral is "SSU rRNA". It matches the Rfam family "Eukaryotic small subunit ribosomal RNA", at positions 548 to 1098 of the family's 1831-position model. Lineage: Eukaryota; Fungi; Glomeromycota; Glomeromycetes; Glomerales; Glomeraceae. The record is from RNAcentral.